UAGUGUAAUGGUUAGCACACUCGGCGCGUAUUCGAGAGGUCCAGGUUCGAGUCCUGG
Molecule: transfer RNA, 57 nt
Filed under: Stegodyphus mimosarum
Lineage: Eukaryota; Metazoa; Arthropoda; Arachnida; Araneae; Eresidae
Rfam family: tRNA
About the family: Transfer RNA (tRNA) molecules are approximately 80 nucleotides in length. Their secondary structure includes four short double-helical elements and three loops (D, anti-codon, and T loops).
Source: Rfam by way of RNAcentral